Molecule: ribosomal RNA, 254 nt
Filed under: uncultured bacterium
Lineage: Bacteria
Description: partial 16S ribosomal RNA
Rfam family: Bacterial small subunit ribosomal RNA
Source: RNAcentral
UACGGGGGGAGCAAGCGUUGUUCGGAUUUACUGGGCGUAAAGGGCGCGUAGGCGGUCGUGACAAGUCACUUGUGAAAUCUCCGGGCUUAACUCGGAAAGGUCAAGUGAUACUGUCGGACUAGAGUACAGAAGGGGCAACUGGAAUUCUCGGUGUAGCGGUGAAAUGCGUAGAUAUCGAGAGGAACACCUGCGGCGAAGGCGGGUUGCUGGGCUGAUACUGACGCUGAGGCGCGAAGGCUAGGGGAGCGAACGGG